AGAAAUCGUUAAGGGCGUAUGGCGGAUGCCUAGGCUUUCAGAGGCGAAGAAGGACGUGGUAAGCUGCGAAAAGCUACGGGGAUUGGCACACACGAAAUAAUCCGUAGAUAUCCGAAUGGGGCAACCCAGUAAGUUGAAGACUUACUACACCGUAAGGUGAGCGAACCCGGAGAACUGAAACAUCUAAGUACCCGGAGGAAAAGAAAUCGAAGAGAUUCCGUAAGUAGUGGCGAGCGAAAGCGGAUUAGCCCAAAAGUUUAUAUAUGUUUAGUGGAAUGUUUUGGAAAGAACAAUCAUAGAAGGUGAAAAUCCUGUACACGAAAGGCAUAUAUAGAUGAAGAAAGAGUAGGGCGGGACACGUGAAAUCCUGUCUGAAUAUGGGGGGACCAUCCUCCAAGGCUAAAUACUCCUGAAAGACCGAUAGUGAACAAGUACUGUGAAGGAAAGGUGAAAAGCACUUCGAAUAGAAGGGUGAAAGAGAACCUGAAACCGUACGCCUACAAGCGGUCGGAGCAGUUAUAUACUGUGACGGCGUGCCUUUUGCAUAAUGAGCCUACGAGUUAAUUUUACUAGCGAGGUUAAGGUAUUAAGUACCGGAGCCGGAGCGAAAGCGAGUCUGAAUAGGGCGAAUAGUUAGUGGGAUUAGACGCGAAACCUUGUGAUCUACCCAUGGGCAGGUUGAAGCACUGGUAACACAGUGUGGAGGACCGAACCGGUUGACGUUGAAAAGUCUUCGGAUGACCUGUGGGUAGGGGUGAAAGGCCAAUCAAACUGGGAGAUAGCUCGUACUCCCCGAAAUGCAUUUAGGUGCAGCGUUGAUUUAGUUUAUUAGAGGUAGAGCUACUGAUUGGAUGCGGGGGUUUCACCGCCUACCAAUUCCUGACAAACUCCGAAUGCUAAUAAAUAUUGAUCAGCAGUGAGGGCAUGGGUGCUAAGGUCCAUGUCCGAGAGGGAAAGAACCCAGACCAACAGCUAAGGUCCCUAAAUAUAUGCUAAGUUGAAACAACGCGGUUGAACUGCAUUGACAGCUAGGAUGUUGGCUUGGAAGCAGCCAUUCAUUUAAAGAGUGCGUAACAGCUCACUAGUCGAGCGGUUCGGCAUGGAUAAUAAUCGGGCAUAAGCAUAUUACCGAAGCUAUGGCAACGAAAGUUGGGUAGGGGAGCAUUCUAUCGGCGCAGAAGCAUCACUGUGAGGUGAUGUGGAGCUUAUAGAAAAGAAAAUGUAGGCAUAAGUAACGAUAAAGCAGGCGAGAAACCUGCUCACCGAAAGACUAAGGGUUCCUCAGCCAUGCUAAUCAGCUGAGGGUUAGUCGGGACCUAACGCGAACCCGAGAGGGGAAGUGGAUGGACAAUGGGUUAAUAUUCCCAUACUUGCUCACGAAUAAAGGGGACGGUUCAGCUAGACUACUGGAGACUGACGGAAUAGUCAAGACCUAGCCUACGGGCGAAGUUGUUGUAGAGUAACUGGAUCCAAGAAAAGCCGAAGUGAAGCAACCCGUACCAUAAACCGACACAGGUAGUCGAGGAGAGAAUCCUAAGGUGCUCGAGUGAGUCGUGGCUAAGGAACUAGGCAAAAUAGUCUCGUAACUUCGGAAUAAGAGACGCCAACAGCGAUGUUGGCCGCAGUGAAGAGGCCCAGGCGACUGUUUAUCAAAAACACAGGACUCUGCUAAAUCGAAAGAUGCUGUAUAGGGUCUGACACCUGCCCGGUGCUGGAAGGUUAAGGAAGGUGCUUAGCGUAAGCGAAGGCAUUGACUGAAGCCCCAGUAAACGGCGGCCGUAACUAUAACGGUCCUAAGGUAGCGAAAUUCCUUGUCGGGUAAG
This 1823-nucleotide ribosomal RNA is filed under the name human metagenome. RNAcentral describes it as "bacterial LSU rRNA". It matches the Rfam family "Bacterial large subunit ribosomal RNA", at positions 1 to 1980 of the family's 2925-position model. The record is from RNAcentral.